AUUGAACGCUGGCGGCAGGCCUAACACAUGCAAGUCGAACGAGUGGCGGACGGGUGAGUCAUGUCUGGGAACCUGCCCGAUGGAGGGGGAUACCUACUGGAACCGGUAGCUAAUACCGCAUACCAUCGGAUGUGCCCAGAUGGGAUUAGCUUGUAGGUGGGGUAACGGCUCACCUAGGCGAAGAUCCCUAGCUGGUCUGAGAGGAUGACCGGCAAAACUGGAACGGAGAAACGGUCCAGAUCCCUACGGGAGGCAGCAGUGGGGAAUAUUGCACAAGGGGGGAAAGCCGGAUACAGCCAUGCGGGGGGUAUGAAGAAGGCUUUCGGGUUGUAAAGUAUUUUCAGAGAGGAGGCGUUACCCGCAGAAGAAGCACCGGCUAACUCCGUGCCAGCAGCCGCGGUAAUUC
This 406-nucleotide ribosomal RNA is filed under the name uncultured bacterium. RNAcentral describes it as "partial 16S ribosomal RNA". It matches the Rfam family "Bacterial small subunit ribosomal RNA", at positions 29 to 526 of the family's 1533-position model. The record is from RNAcentral.